GACGAACUGUGCGAACGUUAUUCGGAAUCACUGGGCUUACAGGGUGCGUAGGCCGCUUGAUAAGUAGGGUGUGAAAUCCCCCGGCCCAACCGGGGAAUUGCGCUCUAAACUAUCAGGCUUGAGUAAGCUAGGGGUGCACGGAACUUCCAGUGGAGCGGUGAAAUGCGUUGAUAUUGGAAGGAACACCGGAGGCGAAAGCGGUGCACUGGGGCUUAACUGACGCUGAGGCACGAAAGCCAGGGGAGCGAACGGG
RNAcentral lists this ribosomal RNA (253 nucleotides) under uncultured bacterium. Its description in RNAcentral is "partial 16S ribosomal RNA". It matches the Rfam family "Bacterial small subunit ribosomal RNA", at positions 524 to 776 of the family's 1533-position model. The record is from RNAcentral.